Molecule: long non-coding RNA, 1634 nt
Filed under: Anolis carolinensis (green anole)
Lineage: Eukaryota; Metazoa; Chordata; Lepidosauria; Squamata; Anolidae
Description: lncRNA (ENSACAG00000031727.2)
Source: RNAcentral
CUCCGCCCCCUCCCACCCCGAGACAUGAGGAGGAGGAGCCAAUAUCCCUCCGCCAAUCUAAGAAGUGAAUAAGUGGGGACCAACCCCUAACUCAUCAGUACGCCCCUCCUGAUUGGCUGCUUUCACAUUCCAAACCAGGCCUCAUUUCCUAGGAGCCGCUUUGCUCUCUGCUAGCCUGUCACCGUGAGGGAGGGGGAGGAGACAAAUCUCUCCACCAAUCAUUGAAGAGAAUAAAAGUAAGGGACCUCCCCUGGCUUAUUAGUACGGCUCUCCUGAUUGGCUACUUUCAUAUUCCGAGCCAGUCCUCAUUUCCUAGAAGCGCUUUGCACUUCGUGUUGCGUUAGAGGGAGGGGCUAACAUCGUUGCACCAAUCAAUGAAGAGAAUAAAAAAGGGAGGAAAUACCUUUUACCAGUACGGCCCCUCUGAUUGGCUACUUUUCCAUUCCGUGCAAGGCCGAAGGGCGUCAAGGGAGUUGUAGUCUCAAGUUCCUCUGAUCGAUGCCUAUGCCCCCCCGUCUAACCCAGCACGCAUCAGGAAGGGCAUAGAGAGCGUUCCCCAAGAUGGCGGCUGUUUGUCUUCGCUUUCAGGGCCUUGUUUCUGCCACUGUGAAUCGAACUGCAGGCUUUAUUCUGCCUUUCAAAACUCCAACCAGAUCCAUCCACAAAAGCCACAGGGUGUGGGGAGAAGUGCAGACAAAGUCACAGCCUGGUGGACAGGUCUAUGAAGAUGUAGAAUAUAUUCCCACAAAGAAAGCCAAGAACCCCAUGAAGACAGUUGGUAUUGCUUGGUGAGCAUUGCAUUUGCUGUUUGCUUUAUGAAUGUUUCACUGCUCCUAGCCUUGUAACUAUUUGUAGCAUAGAAUGUUUGAAAAACCUAUCUGAGAGAAAGACAGGAAAGGAGUAGGGACUGUGUGACUCUCCACAGGUUUAGAUGGCGUCUCCUACCAUCUUUUAGCAUUUGUUACACUACCAAGGGCCAAUAGAAAUGAUAGUUGAGCAACACAUUUCCUGUUAUUGGGCCAUGAAACUUGUCCAUACAUGGGUUAUGUUCAAAACUGAGACUAACAGGACCCUGGGAAGAAAUAGGAUCUUGUGAUCUGGACUUUAAAUAAAAUCUGUGCUUGCUGAACUCUGAAACAAAGAAUCAGUCAUCAGAUUAUGCAAAAGGCAUAAAGUGAUAAUUUCUAAACACCUAAUUAGGAUGUUGGCAUUUGAGGCCUUGUUUAUGUGAAACAGAAUGAAAAGACUAAUGGUGUAUUGUAGGAAUUAGAAACCUUCCAGCAUCCCUUACAACUGGUCAAGCUGGUAGGUAUUGAUGGGAAAUUGAGCCCAUCAAUAUAUGGAGAGUCACUAAUUCUGUAACAAAAUUUCAUUGUGUUUUCUAGCUGUUAUACAGUAGAGUCUCACUUAUUCAAGCUAAACGGGCCGGCAGAACCUUGGAUAAGUGAAUAUCUUAGAUAAUAAGGAGGGAUAAAGGAAAAGCCUAUUUUCAACAUCAAAUUAGGUUAUGAUUUUACAAAUUAAGCACCAAAACAUGUUAUACAACAAAUUGACAGAAAAAGUAGUUCAAUACACAGUAAUGUUAUGUUGUAAUUACUGUAUUUACGAAUUUAGCGCCAAAAUAUCACGAUAUG